GGGCGUUAAGUUGCAGGGUAUAGACCCGAAACCCGGUGAUCUAGCCAUGGGCAGGUUGAAGGUUGGGUAACACUAACUGGAGGACCGAACCGACUAAUGUUGAAAAAUUAGCGGAUGACCUGUGGCUGGGGGUGAAAGGCCAAUCAAACCGGGAGAUAGCUGGUUCUCCCCGAAAGCUAUUUAGGUAGCGCCUCGUGAAUUCAUCUCCGGGGGUAGAGCACUGUUUCGGCUAGGGGGUCAUCCCGACUUACCAACCCGAUGCAAACUGCGAAUACCGGAGAAUGUUAUCACGGGAGACACACGGCGGGUGCUAACGUCCGUCGUGAAGAGGGAAACAACCCAGACCGCCAGCUAAGGUCCCAAAGUCAUGGUUAAGUGGGAAACGAUGUGGGAAGGCCCAGACAGCCAGGAUGUUGGCUUAGAAGCAGCCAUCAUUUAAAGAAAGCGUAAUAGCUCACUGGUCGAGUCGGCCUGCGCGGAAGAUGUAACGGGGCUAAACCAUGCACCGAAGCUGCGGCAGCGACACUCAGGUGUUGUUGGGUAGGGGAGCGUUCUGUAAGCCUGCGAAGGUGGCCUGUGAGGGUUGCUGGAGGUAUCAGAAGUGCGAAUGCUGACAUAAGUAACGAUAAAGCGGGUGAAAAGCCCGCUCGCCGGAAGACCAAGGGUUCCUGUCCAACGUUAAUCGGGGCAGGGUGAGUCGACCCCUAAGGCGAGGCCGAAAGGCGUAGUCGAUGGGAAACGGGUUAAUAUUCCCGUACUUGGUGUUACUGCGAAGGGGGGACGGAGAAGGCUAUGUUGGCCGGGCGACGGUUGUCCCGGUUUAAGCGUGUAGGUGUGUGUUCCAGGUAAAUCCGGUUCACUUUAACACUGAGGCGUGAUGACGAGGCACUACGGUGCUGAAGCAACAAAUGCCCUGCUUCCAGGAAAAGCCUCUAAGCAUCAGGUAACAUCAAAUCGUACCCCAAACCGACACAGGUGGUCAGGUAGAGAAUACCAAGGCGCUUGAGAGAACUCGGGUGAAGGAACUAGGCAAAAUGGUGCCGUAACUUCGGGAGAAGGCACGCUGACACGUAGGUGAAGUGAUUUACUCAUGGAGCUGAAGUCAGUCGAAGAUACCAGCUGGCUGCAACUGUUUAUUAAAAACACAGCACUGUGCAAACACGAAAGUGGACGUAUACGGUGUGACGCCUGCCCGGUGCCGGAAGGUUAAUUGAUGGGGUCAGCGCAAGCGAAGCUCCUGAUCGAAGCCCCGGUAAACGGCGGCCGUAACUAUAACGGUCCUAAGGUAGCGAAAUUCCUUGUCGGGUAAGUUCCGACCUGCACGAAUGGCGUAAUGAUGGCCAGGCUGUCUCCACCCGAGACUCAGUGAAAUUGAACUCGCUGUGAAGAUGCAGUGUACCCGCGGCAAGACGGAAAGACCCCGUGAACCUUUACUAUAGCUUGACACUGAACAUUGAGCCUUGAUGUGUAGGAUAGGUGGGAGGCUUUGAAGCGUGGACGCCAGUCUGCGUGGAGCCGACCUUGAAAUACCACCCUUUAAUGUUUGAUGUUCUAACGUGGACCCGUGAUCCGGGUUGCGGACAGUGUCUGGUGGGUAGUUUGACUGGGGCGGUCUCCUCCUAAAGAGUAACGGAGGAGCACGAAGGUUGGCUAAUCCUGGUCGGACAUCAGGAGGUUAGUGCAAUGGCAUAAGCCAGCUUGACUGCGAGCGUGACGGCGCGAGCAGGUGCGAAAGCAGGUCAUAGUGAUCCGGUGGUUCUGAAUGGAAGGGCCAUCGCUCAACGGAUAAAAGGUACUCCGGGGAUAACAGGCUGAUACCGCCCAAGAGUUCAUAUCGACGGCGGUGUUUGGCACCUCGAUGUCGGCUCAUCACAUCCUGGGGCUGAAGUAGGUCCCAAGGGUAUGGCUGUUCGCCAUUUAAAGUGGUACGCGAGCUGGGUUUAGAACGUCGUGAGACAGUUCGGUCCCUAUCUGCCGUGGGCGCUGGAGAACUGAGGGGGGCUGCUCCUAGUACGAGAGGACCGGAGUGGACGCAUCACUGGUGUUCGGGUUGUCAUGCCAAUGGCACUGCCCGGUAGCUAAAUGCGGAAGAGAUAAGUGCUGAAAGCAUCUAAGCACGAAACUUGCCCCGAGAUGAGUUCUCCCUGAGACUUAGAGUCUCCUGAAGGAACGUUGAAGACGACGACGUUGAUAGGCCGGGUGUGUAAGCGCAGCGAUGCGUUGAGCUAACCGGUACUAAUGAACCGUGAGGCUUAACCUUACAACGCCGAAG
RNAcentral lists this ribosomal RNA (2272 nucleotides) under Salmonella enterica. Its description in RNAcentral is "bacterial LSU rRNA". It matches the Rfam family "Bacterial large subunit ribosomal RNA", at positions 690 to 2925 of the family's 2925-position model. Lineage: Bacteria; Pseudomonadati; Pseudomonadota; Gammaproteobacteria; Enterobacterales; Enterobacteriaceae. The record is from RNAcentral.